UAUCAAUAAGCGGAGCACAAGGGUCCCUGCAUAUCAAUAAGCGGAGCAUAAGAGGUCCCUGCAUAGCAAUAAGCGGAUCGUAAGGGUCCCUUCAAACCGAGUCAUCUGCGAUCUAAGGGAAUCCCGCUGCGAUGAUAUGCCCAAUUCCAUGUAAAGUUCCUUCGACGAGUCGAGUUGUUUGGGAAUGCAGCUCUAAGUGGGUGGUAAAUUCCAUCUAAAGCUAAAUAUUGGCGAGAGACCGAUAGCGAACAAGUACUGUGAAGGAAAGAUGAAAAGAACUUUGAAAAGAGAGUGAAAAAGUACGUGAAAUUGUUGAAAGGGAAGGGCUUGAGGUCAGACUUGGUUUUACCAGGCCAGCAUCAGUUUGGGUGGCAGGAUAAGUGCGUAGGAAAGUGGCUCCACCUCGGUGGAGUGUUAUAGCCUGCGUCGAUACUGCCUGCCUAUACUGAGGACUGCGUCUUUGACUAGGAUGCUGGCAUAAUGACCUUAAGCC
RNAcentral lists this ribosomal RNA (493 nucleotides) under Pichia sp. ChihpsP314. RNAcentral describes it as "eukaryotic LSU rRNA". It matches the Rfam family "Eukaryotic large subunit ribosomal RNA", at positions 41 to 646 of the family's 3401-position model. Lineage: Eukaryota; Fungi; Ascomycota; Pichiomycetes; Pichiales; Pichiaceae. The record is from RNAcentral.